RNAcentral lists this long non-coding RNA (648 nucleotides) under Vigna radiata. RNAcentral's name for it is "long non-coding RNA (VRAD_LNC005832)". Lineage: Eukaryota; Viridiplantae; Streptophyta; Magnoliopsida; Fabales; Fabaceae. The record is from RNAcentral.
GGGAAGACAAAAAUUCUUCAAUGUAGACGUCCGUUCUGAGGGGCACCGACGUCUAAUUUCCUGUAUUUUCACCAAAUUCGAGGGUUUUAGAUGUCGGCUAGGAUGGGCACCGACGUGAACUACCCUGACAGGAAACCAAAACAUCAAUCUUUUCAGCUUUCCUAGACGUCGGUUUCUGGAGCAACCGACGUCCCAUUUCAUUUUAAAUAGACCGGACUCUUCUCAACAUUCAGUUUCUGAUCGCGUCUUCAUCUCUUCUCCUUUUUCUCUGCUUCUCCUCUUCUUUUACUCGCUUGCGCACCUCUACAUUUUAUCUCAUGCGGCAUUGCAUUGCCGUUUCUCAUAACGUCAUUGUCUUCGUUCUCUCCUUUUUCUCUCUUGCAUCCUAGGUGCGUGGUUUUUUUUUAUGCUUACCGUUUAAACUUUCUUUAUUUUUUUAUCGAUUAUCUUGUCGUUCAACUGAUUACAAUUUGCUUUCUUUGUGUUGUGUUUUAGUUAUGUUUUGAUCCUCUCUUUGGGUAACGUAGUGCAACAUUCUCCCUUUGCUGGUUUCCUCACAAGAAGAGUGGCGAUCUUUUGAGUUUUCUAGUUCUUCCGACCCAAAAUGGAACCUGGGUCCUUGUCUACUUCUCGACACCGUAAUUUUUU